AGAAUUUAAUGUCAAUCUCUGGGUAAAGUAUGUGUAAUUGCUUUGGAGGACGACACCCUGAAACAAAAAUGCAGACCACAUGCAACUCCCAAGACAUCGAGCCCUUAAGGACACUCUUUGAAAGCACAGCAAGCCUUUGCCCACUGCCUCCCAGCUCUUGGCUCAGCAUGAAGAUGGCUAGGCAGAUUUACUGAGGACACAUGGAACAAUAAUCUGAAGAAACAACAAGAGUGCAUGGUCCAUAUGCUAUGGGCCCGGCACCGUGCUAAGUGAUUUAUCAGUGCCUUCAUUUUCCUCUUUCAUGGAUGAGGAAACUGAUGCUCAAGAGGCUAACCCAGAGUGGAACAACUUGUGUGUGACACCACUGGGAUUCUCACCCUGCUCAAACAAAGCCUGUGCUUGUGACUGCCGAGGACACAGUGUUUUGCCACCCAUCCGGGCAGUACCGUGCCAGGAACUCUGGGAACUGUAGAAAAUGGUCAGCUGCAGAUCCUGUCUUCAAAGGGUUUUAAUCGAGGUGAUAAAUGGGAGUGAAAUGUAAUGAGGAUCCAGAGCUCUACCACUGAGCUAUGCCCCCAAUCCUGACCUAAAUCAUAACGGAUACUCUCUGCAAAGUGAAGAGCCUGGAUAAGUGCACUGAGCUGAUCAAUGGCACCAAAGACCCAACCUAGGAGGAGAGGAAUGAUGCAUUUUGUGUUGUUGGAAGUAACCAGAGAGACCACAGAGAAAGGAGUGAUGAAAAUUGAUCUGGAAGCUGACCUAUGGCAGUGAGAGGAAAAGAGACACCUUCAAGAGUCACUUGAGACAUGAGAGGAUGGUAUCAGAGAAUAUUUCCAGGAGAAAAUAAAACAAAGCAAAACUUAAAGAUCCAUUGCUCCUUGGCUGGAAGUGUGGGUGCUGAGAGGAUUGCAGAAGGUCUCACAAGGAACCUAGGGAGAAAGGCACUCUCCCCGAGAACAGAUGUCCUGCAAAGCAUGUGGUGACCCAGUUGCUCUCUUCACCAUUCGUGGUCAAGCAUCACUAAGACUUAGCACCUAUGAACAGGAAAUUUCCCUUCACCGAAGAAACAGAUAACUAUUCCUAAGAGACUGGAAACAAAAGAAAGCCUGAAUAUACGCUCUAACUCAUUUAAUUCCCACUUUAUCUGCUAUUAAUUACUUAUUUUUCUAGGCAUAUUCUCUUACAGUUGCUCCUAGUUGCUUGCUUUUAGUUGAUUUUUAAAAUUACCAAUUUUAGAUUCAUAUGUGGUAGCACACACCUGUAAUCCCAGCACUUGGGAGCUGAAGCAGGAGGAUUGCCAUGAGUUCAAGGCCAGCUUAGGUUACAUAGUAAGUUAUACACCAGUUUGGAUUACAUAGAAAGAUUCUGUCUCAAACAAGACAAACAAACAAAUAAACAAAAGCCUCAAAUCACCAGUUUUAGAGGUAUAAGUAACACCUCUAACCUGUGGGUCACAAUGGUAACAAUAGAUGGCUUGCAUACAUAUGCAAAGAGCACAGAUUACUUCCUAAUCUCCAAUUACCUUUCCAUUUAUUAACAUCCCCAAAUCUCACAGAGACAGAUUUGAGACUCUCCUGCAUCCACUUGGCCACCUUUUGAAUAAAUUCUCUUUGGCAAAGCUCAUUUUAGUCCUAGGCAAACUACAGAGCAGUCAAAUGGACCUGGUUGACCUUGAAGAGCUGUUUCUAUGUUCAUAUCCUCUGUGCAGUCGUGUCGAUUACUAUUUUGUCAUCUGUGUCCAUAAAUAAGAGUUUUUACCAUAUAAAAAUUUUAUA
Long non-coding RNA from Cavia porcellus (domestic guinea pig), 1775 nucleotides. RefSeq lists it as uncharacterized. The record is from RefSeq and is a predicted model, not a curated record. Lineage: Eukaryota; Metazoa; Chordata; Mammalia; Rodentia; Caviidae. The transcript is spliced from 6 exons.